AUUGAACGCUGGCGGCAUGCUUUACACAUGCAAGUCGAACGGUAACAGGCCGCAAGGUGCUGACGAGUGGCGAACGGGUGAGUAAUGCAUCGGAACGUGCCCAGUCGUGGGGGAUAACUACUCGAAAGAGUAGCUAAUACCGCAUACGAUCUAUGGAUGAAAGCGGGGGACCGUAAGGCCUCGCGCGAUUGGAGCGGCCGAUGUCAGAUUAGGUAGUUGGUGGGGUAAAGGCUCACCAAGCCAACGAUCUGUAGCUGGUCUGAGAGGACGACCAGCCACACUGGGACUGAGACACGGCCCAGACUCCUACGGGAGGCAGCAGUGAGGAAUUUUGGACAAUGGGCGCAAGCCUGAUCCAGCAAUGCCGCGUGCAGGAAGAAGGCCUUCGGGUUGUAAACUGCUUUUGUACGGAACGAAACGGCUCUGGUUAAUACCCGGGGCUAAUGACGGUACCGUAAGAAUAAGCACCGGCUAACUACGUG
This 482-nucleotide ribosomal RNA is filed under the name uncultured bacterium. RNAcentral's name for it is "partial 16S ribosomal RNA". It matches the Rfam family "Bacterial small subunit ribosomal RNA", at positions 30 to 507 of the family's 1533-position model. The record is from RNAcentral.